ACCCUAGCCCCCCUUUGCUUCUCUCCUUGGCCGACCCUAAAUCCCUCCCCUUGAUCGCCGAUCCGCCACCAUAAACGGCGACCAGUGUGUUCGAGCCUUGAGGGUUGUUUUUUCAGCCUUGAGAUCCACUUUCAACCUCGAUUUCAACGAAGCAAAAGGAAACCCAUGGCAUAUUUGUAAGGUAAGGCUUCUUUUUUUUUUUCAAAUGCAAUAAUGAAAGACCAAAGGAAAUAAAUCGAAAGAAAAAUCAAAAACUUAGGGAAACUUGAAUCAGAAAUCACUUUUAAAAAUUUUGAUUGCUUUCUUUGUAUUCAAUAUGUGUUCGUAAGGAAAAUACAAGUCUCUGAUAUGGCUUUAUAUAGCCGAAUAAAAAUAGAAUUACAAAAGCUAUUUUUCCUUUUGUUUGUUAUUUCUCUGUUGUUGCUGUGCUGUUAUUUUUCUUCUCACAUGUUCGACUGAUGUGGAGAUGGCCGUAUGGAGGAGAAGACCGUGACUUGGAGACCGAUUCCAUGGCAUGCGAGGCUGCGACGCAUCCUAGGGUUUCAAUUCCUGAAACCACAAUCUGGAUCAUUUGGGCUUAUUUUAGGAUUGGGCCGGUUUUAAGAUUGGGCCAUUGGGCCUUGUGGAUUAGGUUACUGGGUUAUUAGGCCAUUCGGGUUAGGUUUAUUGGGUUAUUUUAAUUUGAUAUUUAGUUGGGCUUAUUGUAAUUGAUGGACAUUGGACUAAUAAAUUUGGACUUUUAUUGGUUUUGUUUUAAUUUAUUUUUGGUUUAUUUAUUUUUUUGAUAAUUUAUGGGCCCGGGCAAAAUGGGCCUUUUACAA
This 821-nucleotide long non-coding RNA is filed under the name Gossypium barbadense (sea-island cotton). RNAcentral describes it as "long non-coding RNA (GBAR_LNC012762)". The record is from RNAcentral. Lineage: Eukaryota; Viridiplantae; Streptophyta; Magnoliopsida; Malvales; Malvaceae.